AGAGUUUGAUCCUGGCUCAGGAUGAACGCUAGCUACAGGCUUAACACAUGCAAGUCGAGGGGCAGCAUGAACUUAGCUUGCUAAGUUUGAUGGCGACCGGCGCACGGGUGAGUAACACGUAUCCAACCUGCCUAUGACUCGGGGAUAGCCUUUCGAAAGAAAGAUUAAUACCCGAUGGCAUAGUUCUUCCGCAUGGUGGAACUAUUAAAGAAUUUCGGUCAUUGAUGGGGAUGCGUUCCAUUAGG
This 245-nucleotide ribosomal RNA is filed under the name uncultured bacterium. RNAcentral describes it as "partial 16S ribosomal RNA". It matches the Rfam family "Bacterial small subunit ribosomal RNA", at positions 8 to 245 of the family's 1533-position model. The record is from RNAcentral.